UGGUUUUUCUCAUGAAUUGGAAAAGGGAUUCAAGGCCUGUUUGCUGUGAUAUCAGUCUUUAAUAAAUUAAUCUUCUCUUAGAUAUGAGUGUUUCAUCUACUAUAAUACUAUGUAAGGCUCUGAAUUAACAUAUAUAUAGUGAAAAUGAAAUUGUGAUUGAAUCAGAGUAAAAGAGCUUUGGUUAUGAGAAUAUUGAAUAUUAUUAACGGAGGAGGAACCCAUAGAAAAGAGUAGGAAAAAAUCAUUUGUAUAUAUUCAGUUUCAUUAUACUGUAUCCCGAUGAUAAGGAUGCUGAGGUUGCUAGCAGCGUUGCUGGAGGCAGUGCUCCUGCUGUAGUCAUGGCGGUUAAGGAUAGUAUGGACAGAGGAUGAUAAAGUCAGUUCCUUAUGAACAUAAAAGAGGCUGAUUUUGGCAUCAUUAACAAGAGCAAGGUCCUACAAUUUCAUGGAUCAGCCGCAUGCUACUCUUUAUUAUUCUCAAAGACAAUGAAAGGUGACAUUUUGAUUGGGGAAGCCUUAGGAGUAUCAGAAACUGCACAAGGGUAAGCUUUCAUCCCUCCUACUUAUCACAAAUUCCUUAUAUAUACCUCAUUUUUUGUUGAUGUGUUUGGUUGUGGG
Arachis ipaensis is the source of this 617-nucleotide non-coding RNA. NCBI's taxonomy places the organism in Eukaryota, Viridiplantae, Streptophyta, Magnoliopsida, Fabales, Fabaceae. The record is from RefSeq and is a predicted model, not a curated record.